CCCUCUUCCCCUUCCUCCACGUAUGUGCAAACAGUUGUUCUUUGUGUAGAGCAUCCCUUGGACAAACGGGUCUUUUGUUUAGUAUGAGGACAUCCCCCAUGACAAGUUGAUGGCACAUUAAGAAAAGUAUCUGCAUCUUAGAGAGUGCUGUUCAUUGAGUUUAGAUGCAUCUCACAUGACAUCACCUAGUAGGAGUAUGCAUUUGCUUCCAAAAAGUAGAGAAGAUUGUACCAGGGAAGAUAAAAGGCUCAUAAAUCGCAGAAGUCAUUGAUGUUCUCCAAGGCAUGAUGUUAGAUCAGUCAUGAGCUCACAAGUGUGUGAAAUGGUUCUUGACUUGAUAUUGGCAUGGUUUAUUGAAACUUUAGAUGGUUCGCUGCUAUAACACUUAGUGUCUGUUUGGCAACCCUAAUUGAAUAAUUUACUUGAAGAAAUGUCAUUUUGGACAAGUUGUCUAAUAUUGGCCUGUCUAGGAUAGCUUUUGGGACAGAAUCAUUUUUUGUAAUUCAAAUUGUUAUCUCAAGGCUGGUAUGUCAUUUAACUUUGAAGUGGAAAAUUGCAAGCAUGCAGACUCUAGCAUAUAAAUUGCCUUUCUGCUUGAAUUUCCAUGUUACGUACUCUCAAACCUCAAUAAUGUCCCUGCAUGAAAUGGAGCCAUUAGGGCAUACAACACAGUACCCUUUAUAGAAUGGUGUUUGAAGACAACUAUAUUGCCUCCAUUUCAUGCAGUACCCUAUAUUGACUCUAGCAUAUAAAUUGCCUUUCUGCUUGAAUUUCCAUGUUACGUACUCUCAAACCUCAAUAAUGUCCCUGCAUGAAAUGGAACCAUUAGGGCAUACAACACAGUACCCUUUAUAGAAUGGUGUUCGAAGACAACUAUAUUUCCUAUGAUGUAUCAUACUUUCUAAUUGUUAUUUCGUUC
This 919-nucleotide long non-coding RNA is filed under the name Panicum hallii. RNAcentral describes it as "long non-coding RNA (PHAL_LNC000528)". Lineage: Eukaryota; Viridiplantae; Streptophyta; Magnoliopsida; Poales; Poaceae. The record is from RNAcentral.